CAUGCACGCUAGGGGAGUUCAGACGAACUGAGAUGAGACCACAGGUCUCAAACCCUUUGAACCUGAUCCGGGUAAUGCCGGUGUAGGGAAGCGGAACAACGGGAUA
This 106-nucleotide non-coding RNA is filed under the name Geobacter sp. RNAcentral's name for it is "TPP sequence". It matches the Rfam family "TPP riboswitch aptamer (THI element)". Rfam says of the family: Vitamin B(1) in its active form thiamin pyrophosphate (TPP) is an essential coenzyme that is synthesised by coupling of pyrimidine and thiazole moieties in bacteria. Lineage: Bacteria; Pseudomonadati; Thermodesulfobacteriota; Desulfuromonadia; Geobacterales; Geobacteraceae. RNAcentral also lists the same sequence under 1 other name. The record is from RNAcentral.